RNAcentral lists this long non-coding RNA (271 nucleotides) under Populus trichocarpa (black cottonwood). RNAcentral describes it as "long non-coding RNA (PTRI_LNC004819)". The record is from RNAcentral. Lineage: Eukaryota; Viridiplantae; Streptophyta; Magnoliopsida; Malpighiales; Salicaceae.
AGCAAUGAGAGGGUUGAGAGAGUGAAGUGAACGUGAGAAUAGAGAGAAAGAGUGAGCUGCAAUGGCAGCAGCCUUGCUGCCAUUGCAGCAAAAGAGCUGGGAGUUGAGUUUGAGUGAAGUGAUCCUCCUCCUCCAUAUAUGUUGUAAUCCUUUCUCUAUAUAUCUCUAAUAAUAUGGACUCUCCCGUGGAUGUAGGCGGUUUUGCCGAACCACGUAAAAUAUUGUGUCAGUGUGCUUUACCCUCCGUUGAGCAACUAUCAGUACACCCCCG